GCCUCGGUGUGUAGUGGUUAGAGCACGCGUGCCCGGAUAGGAUGAAACGUGGGUUCAAUUCGCGCCUGAGGCU
Non-coding RNA from Parelaphostrongylus tenuis, 73 nucleotides. The record is from the annotation of a GenBank genome assembly. Lineage: Eukaryota; Metazoa; Nematoda; Chromadorea; Rhabditida; Metastrongylidae.